CCUACGGGUGGCUGCAGUGGGGAAUUUUGCGCAAUGGGCGAAAGCCUGACGCAGCGACGCCGCGUGGGUGAUGAAGGCUUUCGGUCUGUAAAGCCCUUUCAGUCGGGACGAGACGAAGACGGUACCGACAGAAGAAGCAUCGGCUAACUACGUGCCAGCAGCCGCGGUAAUACGGAGGAUGCAAGCGUUAUCCGGAAUUAUUGGGCGUAAAGCGAACGUAGGCGGUUGCUUAAGUUUGGGGUUAAAGACCAAGGCUCAACCUUGGGAGUGCCUUGAAUACUGGGCAGCUGGAGGACGGCAGAGGAAAGUGGAAUUCCAAGUGUAGCGGUGAAAUGCGUAGAUAUUUGGAGGAACACCAGUGGCGAAAGCGGCUUUCUGGGCCGUUCCUGACGCUGAGGUUCGAAAGCUAGGGGAGCAAACGGGAUUAGAUACCCUUGUAGUC
Molecule: ribosomal RNA, 442 nt
Filed under: Salmonella enterica subsp. enterica serovar Anatum
Lineage: Bacteria; Pseudomonadati; Pseudomonadota; Gammaproteobacteria; Enterobacterales; Enterobacteriaceae
Description: bacterial SSU rRNA
Rfam family: Bacterial small subunit ribosomal RNA
Source: RNAcentral